GUAGUCUACGCCGUAAACGAUGGAUGCUGGCUGUUGGAGGAUUCGACCCCUUCAGUAGCGAAGUUAACGCGUUAAGCAUCCCGCCUGGGGAGUACGAGCGCAAGCUUAAAACUCAAAGGAAUUGACGGGGACCCGCACAAGCGGUGGAGCGUGCGGUUUAAUUCGACGCAACGCGAAGAACCUUACCUGGGCUUGACAUGUUCCUGACAGGUGUGGAAACACACCCUCCCUUCGGGGCAGGAUCACAGGUGGUGCAUGGCUGUCGUCAGCUCGUGUCGUGAGAUGUUGGGUUAAG
Molecule: ribosomal RNA, 295 nt
Filed under: uncultured bacterium
Lineage: Bacteria
Description: partial 16S ribosomal RNA
Rfam family: Bacterial small subunit ribosomal RNA
Source: RNAcentral